Molecule: long non-coding RNA, 9218 nt
Organism: Macadamia integrifolia
Lineage: Eukaryota; Viridiplantae; Streptophyta; Magnoliopsida; Proteales; Proteaceae
Exons: 3
Source: RefSeq, a predicted model, not a curated record
UACCGUCGAUUCUGAGACCCCACUGGAAAAGGUAUAUUGAUAGAUACCAGAUAGUUUUCCCUCUCUCUCUCUCUCUGAUAAUAUUGGCAUAAAAAGAUGUCAGGGAUAGUACGCCAGGGUUGGAAUUCUCUUUCUUUCUCUCUCUCUUUCCAUCUCUAUCUGUAACUUCCUCAGGAGCAAUGGCGGACCUUCUAAGUUUAAGUCUACUCAACUCUCCACAGCUUAUUAUCGAAACCCUUGUAGGUUACUUCCUUCUUGUUCGACGACGGUCUUCUUUUAUUACUGGACCAUCUCACAUUGCCAAUUCUGAGUUGCGCUACACGAGCUAUAUCGGGAACUCCUUGAGAGUCAACAAAUGAUUGAAGCGAAGCUUGACAAACACAUGACACAUUUCAAAUUCAGAUGUCAGGAAAAUUUUAUUGCCAUAACAACUCUCACUUCCAAGGUGGAUUAAUUUUGUGGAGCUUUAAUAUCAAUAAAUGAGACCAAGCAAGACCGUUUACACCAGUUCCUCAGUUUGGUACUCUACAGCUCACAUAUAAGCGUCCGAUACCACCACCAAAGCUAACUUUUCCCCAAGACGUCACACGACAAUCCAUAGAUGAUAACAACAUCAAGGUCAAGAUUAUCGAUUUUGACAGUGAAAGAAAACCUAAUUUUUUCUUAACUAGUUGACUAAGGUCAGGAGGAUUUUUGCAUACAAUUCCUUUUUGAAUGACAAAAAGGGCAUUCAUCAAAUUCACGAGGUAGGAAUGUUUGUGGUGGGAUGUUGUGCUACAAUCAACAUUUAUUAGGUGAAUUGGUUUUGUCACCAAUAGGGAGGUUAUGAAGCAAAUAUUGAAUCAAUAAUUUGUUCCUCCAAAUUUUGAGAAGGUGAUCUUCCACAAGAUGGCCAACUUCCUUGAAGGUAGUGAGGAUGUGGAUACCGGAACCAUGGAAUUCCACAAGUUUUACAGAUCAACAAUAAGAAUUGAGUUAUAUCUAUGGGCUGAACACAGAGAUCCGGUUAGAGCUUGCUAAUAGAGAUUUUAGAUUGGUUGAUGUGGUAGCUACUUAUUUCAAGACAUCUGAAGAAUAAAUACAGCUACUUGAAGGACAUACUCGAGAUUUUUCAGCUUAUAGACCUACAUCCAAUACUAAAGAAAGGAAAUUUGUGCCCUGCAAGGUGGAAGAAAAGAAGCUGGAGGUCUCCAAGCGUAACAAAUGGAUGAAAAACGUCAGGCGUCACAAUUGUGGUGAGAAAGGUCACUUUGGAAACAAAUGUCCCCACAAGAUCUGUUCUUUGACCAUGGUUGAUAGACAAUUGGCAAAGAUGGAGAACAAGGAUGAGGUGGAGAUUGGUCAGACUAUUCCUUCUAAUCUAGAUGAUGACUCCGAUUAUAGUCUUGAUGAUUAGGUUGAAGCUAAAUCGGCUAGUCUUACCCCUUCUUCAAUUGCUUAGUAGAGAAAGUUCCCCUUUUCGAACAAAAGGGUGCUCUACUACAUGAUGAGGAUUCUAUGACAAUCAAUACAGUUGUUGACAUAGGAGUGAAGGGCAACCUCAUCUCAACAGACUUAGUUCAAGUACUUUACCUCCUAUGGAAACAACUUUUCUAGAAUUUUUAUAUGAGGUUUUGAGCCUAAUGCUAGAGAAGAGGCUGAUGUCACUGUUUUUCUUGGGCCACCAUGUCUAGGGCUCUUCUACUUGUUUCUUCUGUAGUACAUUUAUUCAAACAUAUUUUACUCUUACAAACAAUUUUCAAAACAUUGUAUUGACAGGUGCAAAAGCGGAACACUUUUUUUUAUAACUAAAUAAUGAUGUCGACAAAGUGUCCACUUAAUUUAUGGUUUGAAUCUUUGACCGAACGCCAUGUGAUACAAAAAUAACAUUGGCGCUGAAUUUUGGCUUUGUUCGUGUGGAAAACCCACUUGUAAACCAUUAUAUAUGCUUUGGUGACUCGUCAACACUUGGGCUAGAGAGACCAAUAUUUUUUUUUUGGAUGAAUAAAAAUUUCAUUACCGUAAGAGAGAAGAAUAUACAAAGAGAAAGAAAGGUGGGGGGAGAAGGCUUAGAGCAAGCCAACAAAGCAAAAAUAGUAACACAAAACACAUAAGCCAGAAGGGGUACAACAAAAUCAUCAGGGAAGGGGGGAAACAAGAUGGAGGACAGGAGGCCCUGUGUACAAGUAUACAACAAUAUGCCUUGGGGAGUCCCUUACAUUAUGAUGGGGGAUGGAGGCAAGAUUGGAGUUGACGUCGAAGUAGAUGGCUUCCCAAAUCUGAUCAUAAGAUCUGGAGUUGGACGUCCAUGUACAAAGAUUUCACUCUAUCCAAAUAUGGCUGAUGGUGACACAAAAGGCGAGCUUUCCAGCGGUGUCACAUAUAGAGGAACCAACAAAAGUCGUAUCAACCUAGAUCCAUUUUCUACUAAAGGGGAGGGCAGCUCUCCGUGAAGGCCAACGACUAAUAAGAAUCCUCUUCUAGAUGAUAGAGGAGAAAGGGCAGGAGAAAAAGAGAUGAUCAACAUCUUUUGUACAAUUCCAGCAAUGAUAGUAAGAGGAGGGGGAUCUGAAUGUGCCAGUAGAUAAAGAAAGACUACUUAGGGAGGCAAUGGAAAUGGCUCACCAAGCUGUGAAGCUAUGAUGGGGGAUGUGGCCUGUAAACCAAAUAGACUUACUCCUAGGGACAAGGGGGCCUUUAGAUCUGACUAAUCCCAAGCAGAAGAAGAGCUAAGCAAACCAAAAUGAGAGGGAAACCAAGAUAUUUUAUUUUAAAUUACGCCAAGGGACAAGGGGGCCUUUAUAUUUGACUAAAUCCCAAGCAGAAGAAGAGCUAAACCAGAGUGAGAGGGAAAGCAAGAAAUGUUAUUUUCUCUACCGCCAAAUAAAUUCUUCAUUGUGCUUGAUUUUGAUAUCCCUUUAUCUUUAUUUAAAAGUUUGUCCCUUUUUUCCACUUAGUAUUUGCUUCAAUACUUCCUUAAGGUCCAUAGAUUUUGAAUCGUUCUUGUGAGAUUUAACAUAAGUUUUUUGUAAUACAUUGAAGUAAAAAUAUUUACAUGCUGAAUAACCAAGGAAAAUAACAUUUCUGAAGACUGUGAGGGAGUGCUAGUGUCUUGGCAUCUACAGACCGGUAAGCUGGUAAAUUUGGUAACAUUGAGCCAGGUACCAAGGCAGUAGUAUAUUGUAUGCCAUGUAUGAGUAGCAUGCUGUAUGCCAUGCAUGAGUAAUGUUGCUGAGCAGUUUUUAGAUAUCAAACGGACCUCCUCGGAAGGUAAUUUUAAUGUGGCCGAUUUACCCUCUUUUGCAAUCAGUUUCGCCACAACACCUACUGCUCUAGCUAAUUGUCCACCCUGUCCAAGUCCUUAUAACUUACAAGCGAGAAAAACCCUUCUAGAGAGGCUGAGGCUAAAGGGAAAGAAGAAAGCAAAGCUAACUACUAAAAGACAGACCGGUAAGCUGGUAAGUUUGGUAACAUUGAGCCAGGUACCAAGUCAGUAGCAUAUUGUAUGCCAUGCAUGAGUAGCAUGCUGUAUGCCAUGCAUGAGUAAUGUUGCUGAGCAGUUUUUAGAUAUCAAACGGACCUCCCCGGAAGGUAAUUUUAAUGUGGCCGAUUUACCCUCUUUUGCAAUCAGUUUCGUCACAACACCUGCUGCUCUAGCUAAUUGCCCACCCUGUCCAAGUCCUUUUAACUUACAAGCGAGAAAAGCCCUUCUAGAGAGGCUGAGGCUAAAGGGAAAGCAGAAAGCAAAGCUAGCUACUAAAAGACAAGAACAAAUAUCCUUGCUAGUGAAAAAGAGCCAAUGUCCAUCUCUUCAGUGCGAGUUGUUGGCCGGAUCGUGGAACUUGCUCCAUUAUAAAUGACUUUUUUCCUUUAUCAUGGUUGGGGAGGAAAACAGAGAGGCGAAACUCAUCUGGUAACUCUUUAGGAACUUAGUCUGAAAAGUCGAAGAUCAAGUCCCUAAUUGGCUUGGAAGGCUUGAUCUCUGCUUAAGGACUCACUUCCCCAAUAAAAAGAGCCACAAUAAGUCCCAGAUCUUAUAAGCUCCUCCUCUGUGAUGGUCAACAUCUUUGUUCCAGCAUUAGAAUCCUUCUGAUUAGUUGUCAAUGGCAUACACUACUUCCUCAGCUGGGACAUUGGUAGGGUGAAGAGUAGUACGCUUGCCUUUGAACUAGAGCACUCAAUGAUUCUUCAUCAGGUCAUUUUUUUGUAACCAUGGCUGUCUGAGUAGUACGUCUCUUGGCUUAAUGGGCACAACAUCACACCAUAAUUAUACUUCAUAACGAUAAAGUUUUGAAGGUACUGAACACCGUUGGUUUACCUCCAAUGUGCUGCCAUAAAGAAGAGAGACCUUAUACAGCUGUGGGUGCUUCUUAGUCUAUAAUUUUACCUUAUUUACAAAAGCCUUACAAGUCACAUUUACAUAGCUGCCACUUACUCUGAUCACAUCCUCUGGGGUGCCUUGGUGGUGAGAUGAUGAGGUUCAAGCAAGUGAGCAACCAAGGAUUGAAAUGUCGUUUUUAAGGCCGGAUUUGACUUUGGACGACACCGAGACACUGUAGAUUUUGCCUGAAACUCUGUUGAAAUUUGUUAUUUUUACUCAGCGUACUCGAAACCUUGGUUCAAGGUCGUGAAAGUGUUUUUUUGUACUAUUUUUCUCUGUAAUUCCUAUUUUUGACAUUUUAAAUCUAAUCCAUGAGUUAGUUUAAAAAACAAACCAUCCAAAAUGGUAGUUAUGGUUUUGACCCAAGUUUGUUAGUGUAUGCUGAAUGAUACUAUACACUAUCCUUGUUAUAAACACUAAGUCUACGUAUAAUUUAGCUACUGGAAAUGUAAAUAAGCUAUUGACUGAUGUAGAUAGGGUUGUCAAAAGGAGGACUCUAGCUGACCAAACCAUGGUUCAGUUCUGUCCCAAGUCUGGACCUGGUUCAGUCCCAUCGAGCCAGCCUUGUUGGCAGCAAUUUUGCACCUAUGCUGGUCCACUCCUGCAGCCGUCGAACCAGCAUAGCAGCCUCUUGAUUAGUGCAUAUUUUACUUCCCUAAUUGGUCUUCUAGAAUAGCCCAAGCAACCAUCUAUCCAUCUUGUCCAGUAGCUUCCAUAACUUGUGUUACUGUUCACGUGAACAAUAUUUUUCUCAGCAAGUUUUGGUCUUCAAAAGGAUCUUCUAGAAACUAUACAUCUGUGCCUUAUUCAGCUCCAAGAGAAGAUCUCCAGCAACAUCGAAUUUGCCAGCUAGUAUAGGAUUUAGUUUCCUUUUUUAGAUUGUCAAUUUAGUCAAGUUAGUUUCCUAUUUUGCAACUUAGGCUAGCUUCCUUUUUAUGUUCAGUUGUUAGUUUCUAAUUUUGUUAAGCUUGAUUAGAAAGUUAGACGCAAAAUUAGAAAAGUUUUAUUUUAGUCCAUUAGUUUUCUUUUCUAUUAUCCUUUAUGCCUAAGUUAUGUAAGCCUAUAAAGAGGCACCCAUCGCCUGUAAUAGCUAGGAUUUGAUGAAUGAAAUUAUUGAGUGCAAGCUCUUGGCUGAAGAGCUAUGUUUGAGAGGUGAGAUGACUAACCCAUUGAUGCGUGUGAUAUCCAAAACCUGAGAGGUGAGAUACCCGUUCCACCAUUUUUCUUCCACCCUCCAUCAAUUCUCUUUAUUUUAUUUUAUUUUUCUUCUUUAUUUCAGUUUGUGAUUUGAGAGUGGAAUGAACAUUGUUUGGAGACUUGAAGCCCUCUAACAUUGCUGAUCAGAGACAAACACACAACCUAUCGAUGUUCAAUUACAAGGUUUUCCCGAGAAAAAUGUUUGAGUACAUAACUUCUGGACCAGAUCUAUGUUCGCUGAGGAUUUUGAGAGUUUGUUGAGGACCUUAGGAGGACCACUCGAUCCAAAUUUGAGCAUCAUCCGAAGUUGGAAGCUCAAGUUAUUGAACAAACACCAUAAGUUUCCUUUUUCAUGUCGAAAACAUAACUCUCAAUUUAACCAUCGGAAUUGUCUCAUAUUUUGAGGGUUUGUUAACCCAUAUAAGACCUUCAUCUACUCUAAGUUUCUCCUUUAUCUGAGCUAUGGUUUGUGAGAUCUCAUAUUUCUCUUGAUUCACCCAUAUUUUUCAGAUCCUGCCUGGGAUUAUGAUCACUUGUGAUUCUAGUCUUACAUCAUUGAAACAAUCAAAGCAUACGUUAGAAUGAAAAAACAAGCAUACAUAACAUGAUACAUUGGAGGAGUUAUGUUACGGUUAAACCUUAUUUGGUGUGUGCUAAUGUUGUUAAAAUCUUGGUUGAAUGAAAAUAAAUUUUUACAUAUCAAAACAAAAUAUUAUUUCACCUCUCUUUUGUUUUUUAGUGACGUUUUAUCAUAAUAAGAUUUAUGAAAUCUUUAGAUUUGAGAAAAACCUUGCAUUUGAAAGUUGAAAAUCAUCCUUACAACCGAAAAUUCAGUUUUUGUUCUUGAACUAGGGGGGUUAUUGGAUUUCUUAACUAUUUUGGAAUUUGAUUUCUUAACUAUUUUUAUUGGAUUCAUUUGGGGUAAUUUGCAUUUUUAUGAAAAUAUCUAAAGUAAAUAGAAUAAUAAUUAUAAAGUCAUUUACUUGAAUAUUAUUAGGCAUAAAUCAAUGAUGUUCCUGGGUAUCUCCAAGUUUCCAAUGGGAUAUUCUAGUUCUGUGUUGAACCUUGUUGAAAUAGACAUGUUUUGUGGGAGACAUGCGACUUUAAAGCUUAGGUUGCACUAGGUUUGGUUCGGAAUCUUCAGAAACCUGGUCGAAACACAUUGAAACCAGGUUCGAUACCAUUUCACUUCUAGGUUGCAAGAAACCAGGAUAUCUAGGUCGAAAUUGCAUGUUUCAACCAAGAUGAUGAACCAUGUAAGUAGUCAUUAAGGCUAAGAAAACUAGUUUUAAGACAUGGCAAAGGCCUAAGGAUGUAGAAGAUUCUAAAAAGCAAAAAAUUGCUAGAAAUGAAGCUAAGAAAAUUUUGGGCAAAGAAAUAUGAGGAUCUUUAUAACACUUUGAGCACAAAGGAAGGGGAAAAUGCCAUAACUAAAAUGAGGGAAAGGAAGAGUAGAUAUUUUGACCAUGUUAGAUGCAUUAAAAAUGAAGAUAAAGUACUAAAAUAAGAGAUGGAGACAUUAAGGAGAGAUGAAAAUAUUAUUUCUACUUCUUACUAAAUGAAGACAUUUUGAUUAAUACUGCUAAGAAGGUUGAAGUAAAAAUUAUUUCUACAUCUUACCCAUCAAGACACCACAUGUCGUAGAUUAAAAAAAAAAAUGGGGUGCUUAAAGUAAAAGAAGUGUUAUGAAGGAUGUGAUGUAGGAGCACUUCCAUUGAUUGACCCGACCCUAUUUGAAAAACUAGACCAAGAACCGGAUCUAAUUGAUUUUUGGAGUUUAGUAGGAUUUUAUGAAGGUUUAUUUAUUUUGAGAAUAAUAAAAAAGGGUGUACCUAGUGCACGAGGUUCUCGCAUGUGUGAGGUCUGGGGGGUGAGAAUCACGCAGCCUUACCUCGAGAAUAUCGAGAGGCCGUUUCAACUUUGAGAAUAAUAUUAUAAUAUUUCUUUUAUUUAGGUAGAUCUUUUAUUUCCAUCUUUUAUUUCCUUUUCUUCUUAAUUGGGAAGAUUAGGGUAAGAUAUUUUAUUGUGCUUCCAAUCUGAGUUUAUUAUUUAGUAGAAUAGGUUUCCAUUUCUUGAGAUGUUUUCUUUUAUUUAUAUGUAACUCGAUGGACAGUAGAGAGCAGAUUUGAUAAUGAAUUGUUGGGUUUAUGUGGUGUAAGGUCUGCGUGGCUUGGGAGUUUGUACGAUUUCCCCUUCCCUCUUUCUUCUUCCUCUCUUUCUUUCCUCAUUCACCGAUCUCGCUGUUCACAAUCACAUCACUGGUUACUUUUUUCCUUCUUUGCCGGGUGGUGAUUCCAGAAUCAAAAGAGAGCUGGCUGGAUCCUUAAUUCUUGACGAUUGGUUCUCAUGUCUGGAUCUAAGGUUGCUAGCUCAUGGGUGAUGCAAACCCUAGGUUAUCACUUCCAAGGUUUUGUCCUGCUGUGAGAAUCGAACCAAUUUCAGAUCUGAUUCUUACCUUUUCAGGUUGCAGAGAUUUCUUGAGCAACGCCUGAUUGAUUGUUGGGCAUGUUACUGAUUGCAUCCUGAAGCGUUUGGGGAUAGCGAUUUUCCCCCCCUAUUUUCCGAUCAAUUGGAGCCCUUGUGAAGCUACUUGAGGGAUUUGGUAACAUACUCUAAGGAAAUUUUGGGAUUUACUAACAUACUUUAGGGAAAUUCUGUCUGCAAAAUUUUGGUAUCAGCGGCUGUUCUAGUUGUUAAAUCUGAAGUGAAGAUCAGAUUUGGUUCUGGCAUUCGCCAAGUCCAGUUUCGGAAGAUAAUUGUUUGAUCUCUGAACCAUAUUUGAUUCUGCAAGUUAAUGAUGUUAAGGGGGCUGGGGCUGGUGAAUCUUUCCUUAUAAUUUCAGUUGCUUUGAGCCUUGAUGGAGUUCUUUACAACAAAUUGAGUGAGGCUGGAUUCUGAACUCCUGGAAGUUACAAAUCUUGAUGGGCUAUUCCUGUAACUUCUUAGAACUCAUAAUUUCAAGUGUGAUGAGUGAGUACCAAGGAUUCAGAAGUCAAGAUUGGUAGUGGAAUUGGACUAUACCAUGUUGACUAGGUUGGUCCGGCCAAAAGUCACUGAGCCCGAGGAAAAUUGGGCAAUAAUGGGGGCUAUCAGGUGGAUUUUACUCAAAGUUUGAGGCAUGCUCCUUUUUAUUGUGAUUUUUUUCCUAACAUCAUUUGAAGGGAGAAGGCUGAUAUAGAUGAUCAAAGAGUUUUUUAAUUUUCUCAGUGAAUAAAUCAAGUAUGCUUAGGUAUAGUUUUUUGGGGGGGGUGGGGGUGUGAGUGUCUAUGUUAAAAACUUUUUAUUAGAACUCUACUAUUUGGAAGCUACACAUGAAUUCUGGCAUCAUUGUUUGGAUGAACUAUGAAGUUUGAAAUCUGUUGGAUGUUACUGCCCACGAUAUGUGAGUGUGUUACACAUUAAACCAAAAUUCUGACCCAAGAAACUAGGUGUAACCUACCCUAGGGCUCAGCAUCCAAAUGGGUCCCUUUGACUUUCAUAAUGUUGUGAUAAUUGUUGUUAUUUGAUUUUUAUGGGGUUCAUUCUUAAUUUUUUGCUAGAUAGAUGUUUGAGGAGGACAUCUUUAUCAUUAUUAAUUUUGUAAGUGAGAAACAUGAUGAUGGCAGUGAGUUUGGCAUUAUUGUUCUUCAAAAUUCUAUUUAUGUUAAUUUAAGAUCUUCAA